Molecule: long non-coding RNA, 2451 nt
Filed under: Homo sapiens (human)
Lineage: Eukaryota; Metazoa; Chordata; Mammalia; Primates; Hominidae
Description: HSALNT0332025
Source: RNAcentral
AUCCCGACAACAGCCAGGAGGACCCGCCUUAACUGAGCUGAACUUUGCUAAAUCUAGAAACUCUCAGCUUGGUUCAUGUAACUUACCUAGUUUUAUUACUUCAUUUGGUUUCUGAAGGUCAGAACUUUCCUAAAUUGGCUAGGUACCAGUUGAUUGGGGAAAUACUAAGAGAAAUGAAAUCUAUGAUCUGAUGAGGUGGGAUUCAGUGUGAAGAAAGGGGUAUACAGGAGAAGUAAUAUGACAUGAAGUACCUUUCAUCCUCAGCAAAGUCUGCAUAUGACUAUUGACAUGAGUCAUUAAGAGCUCAAAAUUGGUCAAAAAGCUGCAGCGACAACUUGCGACAACUCAUUUGGCCUAGGAACUGCUAACAAAGGUACAGUGCUGUGGUGGUUCAAGAAGUUUUGCAAAGGAGACGAGAGCCUUGAAGAUGAGGAGCCUAGUCGCCGGCCAUUGGAAGUUGUCACCGACCAAUUGAGAGCAAUCAUGGAAACUGAUCCUCUUACAAUACUCGAGAAGUUGCCAAAGAACUCAAUGUUGACCAUUCGAUGGUCGUUCGAUCUGAAGCAAAAUGCAAAUGUGAAAAACCUCAAUAAGUGGGUGCCUCAUGCUGAGCAAAAAAAAAAAAAAACCAUCGUUUUGAAGUGUUGUCUUCUCUUAUUCCAUGCAACAAUGAACCAUUUCUCGAUCAGAUUGUGAUGUGUGAUGAAAAGUGGAUUUUAUGUGACAACUGGUGAUGACCAGCUCAGUGGCUGGACCAAGAAGCUCCAAAGCACUUCCCAAAGCCAAACUUGCAUCAAAAAAAGGUCAUGCUCACUGUUUGGUUGUCUGCUCCACUAGAGCUUCUUGAAUCCCGGCAAAACUGUUUCAUCUGAGAAGUAUGCUCAGCAAAUCCAUGAGAUGCACUGAAAACGGCAAUGCCUGCAGCCAGCACUGGUCAACAGAAACGGCCCAACUGUCUCCAUAAUGACCCUUGACUGCAUGUCACAAAACCAACGCUUCACAAGUUGAACGAAUUGGCCUCAUCCGCCAUAUUCAUCUGACUUCUCGCUAACCAACUUCCACUUCUUGAAGCAUCUCGACAACUUUUUGUAGGGAAAACGCUUCCUUGACUAGCAGGAUGAAGAAAAUGCUUUCCAAGAGUUUGUAGAAUCCCGAAGCACGGAUUUUUACGCCACAGGAAUAAACUUAUUUCUUGUUGGCAAAAACAUGUUGAUUGUAAUAGUUCCUAUUUUGAUUAAUAAAGAUAUAUUUGAUCCUAGUUAUAAUAAUUUAAAAUUCAUGGCCCAAAACCGCAAUUACUUUUGCACCAACUUGCUACCUAGGUACUAUGCUAAGCACUAGGAAUAGAGAUAAGACAGAAUUUCUGGUAACUGUGUAUGUGUGAUAUGUGCCCUAACAAAGGUAAGAACAGGUGCUUCCUCAACAUCUGCUUAUCUCCCGCUUAACCCAGAAACUGGCUGUCAGGCUUGGCACAAAUAAACUCAACUUUCCACCCUCUCAUACUCCAACUUGCCCUCUUCUCCUUCAUUCCACUCAUGUAAAAUGAAAUACCGUUCAUUCUGUCCAAGACCAACCCCACCAGCUGUGCUCUCAGGUACCACUUUUCACCUCUCGUGGGGUCCUGCUCUAUCGGUUAUCUACUCUCAUGUUUUAUUAACCAAAAUUCCGGUGGGAGGUGGAGGGGGUAUCUCUACUCACGGCAGCAAUUUACGCACUUCUGAUUCAUGUCUCAACCCCCACAAUCUGGGUUCUGCCAUAACCACUUGACUAACAAUGCUGCUCUGGUAAUGGUACCAGAGGCUCUACAUUGCCCUCUUUAUGAACUGGAUAUUGCUUAGACAAGCCACCCUGCUGACCACAGCUACCUUCCCCAAACAUAUGACUAUCUUGACUUCUGCAACACUACUCUUUACUUGAUCUCCUCCCAUUUCUUCAACCCUACAGUAGUUAGCCAAGGGACCAUGGCGGGGGUCUCUGAGACCUUUCAGGGGAUCCACCAGGAAAACUAUUUUCAUAGUUAUCAGGAAGACAUCUGCAUUCUCUCAUGAGUAUACAGGGGAAAUUACUAGACACUAAGUGAUAUGUGAUAUAGCAACAAAUUGUAGAUAGCAACAAAUAUAAGCACCCAGUUGUCUUCUAUUAAGCCAAACAUGAAAGAGACUUGCACUAGUGUCAAACUAUCAAUCUGCUGAUUUAGGGGGAGGAAAAAUGGUUAUUCUUCAUAAAAGUGUUAUUUAACAUAAUGGAUUUAGUCACUUUAAAAUAGGUGUUUUUAAAAGCUUUUUUUUUCUAAUAUGAUAAAUGCGUCCCACAUAAAUGAAAGCUUUUUGGGGUCCUCAGUAAUAUUUAAGAACGUAAAAGGCCUAAGACCAGUUAAGUUGAAGAACCACAUUCUUAAACUUUGUCUUCUUGGCUCUUCUUCAGCCAACUACUUCAAUUUUGAUGUUCCCU